This 443-nucleotide ribosomal RNA is filed under the name uncultured bacterium. Its description in RNAcentral is "partial 16S ribosomal RNA". It matches the Rfam family "Bacterial small subunit ribosomal RNA", at positions 338 to 795 of the family's 1533-position model. The record is from RNAcentral.
CCUACGGGUGGCAGCAGUGGGGGAUAUUGGACAAUGGGGGGAACCCUGAUCCAGCGACGCCGCGUGAGUGAAGAAGUAUUUCGGUAUGUAAAGCUCUGUCAGCAGGGAAGAAAGAAAUGACGGUACCUGACCAAGAAGCCCCGGCUAACUACGUGCCAGCAGCCGCGGUAAUACGUAGGUGGCAAGCGUUGUCCGGAUUUACUGGGUGUAAAGGGCGUGCAGCCGGAGAGACAAGUCAGAUGUGAAAUCCACGGGCUCAACCCGUGAACUGCAUUUGAAACUGUUUCCCUUGAGUGUCGGAGAGGUAAUCGGAAUUCCUAGUGUAGCGGUGAAAUGCGUAGAUAUUAGGAAGAACACCAGUGGCGAAGGCGGAUUACUGGACUAUAACUGACGGUGAGGCGCGAAAGCGUGGGGAGCAAACAGGAUUAGAUACCCUUGUAGUC